CGUAGGGUGCAAGCGUUAAUCGGAAUUACUGGGCGUAAAGCGUGCGCAGGCGGUGAUGUAAGACAGGUGUGAAAUCCCCGGGCUUAACCUGGGAACUGCAUUUGUGACUGCAUCGCUGGAGUGCGGCAGAGGGGGAUGGAAUUCCGCGUGUAGCAGUGAAAUGCGUAGAUAUGCGGAGGAACACCGAUGGCGAAGGCAAUCCCCUGGGCCUGCACUGACGCUCAUGCACGAAAGCGUGGGGAGCAAACAGGAUUAGAUACCCUGGUAGUCCACGCCCUAAACGAUGUCAACUGGUUGUUGGUCCUUCACUGGAUCAGUAACGAAGCUAACGCGUGAAGUCGACCGCCUGGGGAGUACGGCCGCAAGGUUG
RNAcentral lists this ribosomal RNA (370 nucleotides) under uncultured organism. Its description in RNAcentral is "bacterial SSU rRNA". It matches the Rfam family "Bacterial small subunit ribosomal RNA", at positions 526 to 896 of the family's 1533-position model. The record is from RNAcentral.